This is a long non-coding RNA of Ipomoea nil (Japanese morning glory), 253 nucleotides long. RefSeq lists it as uncharacterized. Lineage: Eukaryota; Viridiplantae; Streptophyta; Magnoliopsida; Solanales; Convolvulaceae. The transcript has 3 exons. The record is from RefSeq and is a predicted model, not a curated record.
GAAGAUGAAGAUGGAAACUGAAGAUUAUUAUAUCAUUUGCUUAUAAAGAUAUCAAACUGACCAAUAUUGAAGUUGCUUUCCAAGCUGUGGGAGCAACAACAGAUUGUGGAAGCUGAAAUCAUGAAGUGUAACAAGGCUAUUGAGACCGUGUUACAUGGUGGUAAAAGUGAUUUGUCAAGCAUUGAACAUAUGAUAGAAGAUCCUUCUAAUGCUUAUCUGGAAAUCGAAGAAAUUCAACAGAGCACUAGUCUUA